This 496-nucleotide ribosomal RNA is filed under the name uncultured bacterium. RNAcentral describes it as "bacterial SSU rRNA". It matches the Rfam family "Bacterial small subunit ribosomal RNA", at positions 33 to 507 of the family's 1533-position model. The record is from RNAcentral.
ACACGCUGGCGGCGUGCCUAACACAUGCAAGUCAAGGAGAAUUCCCGACUUGUCGGGAUAGUAAACUGGCGAACGGGUGAGUAACACGUAGGUAAUCUACCCUCGGGAUCGGGAUAACCUCGCGAAAGUGGGGAUAAUACCGAAUAAAGUCUCGGUAUAAUUUGUCGAGAUGAAAGAUGGGGAUCUUCGGACCUAUUACCUGAGGAUGAGCCUGCGCCUGAUUAGCUAGUUGGUAGGGUAAAUGCCUACCAAGGCAACGAUCAGUAGCUGGUCUGAGAGGAUGAUCAGCCACAUUGGGACUGAGAUACGGCCCAGACUCCUACGGGAGGCAGCAGUGAGGAAUUUUGCGCAAUGGGCGAAAGCCUGACGCAGCAACGCCGCGUGACUGAUUAAGCUCUGAGGAGUGUAAAAGUCUGUCGUAGAGGAAGAAACUAUCCGAUAAGAAUAUUGUCGGAUACUGACGGUACUCUAUGAGAAAGCUCCGGCUAACUCCGUG